CAGCUUCCCUGCCCUGCCUGUUUUCUUCUUUGUGGUUUUAUGAAAGCGAAGGAGGAAACAGGCAGGCCAGGGAAGCGCUC
Non-coding RNA from Macaca mulatta (Rhesus monkey), 80 nucleotides. The record is from Rfam. NCBI's taxonomy places the organism in Eukaryota, Metazoa, Chordata, Mammalia, Primates, Cercopithecidae.